This 2250-nucleotide long non-coding RNA is filed under the name Canis lupus dingo (dingo). Its description in RNAcentral is "lncRNA (ENSCAFG00020019877.1)". The record is from RNAcentral. Lineage: Eukaryota; Metazoa; Chordata; Mammalia; Carnivora; Canidae.
UCCAGGCCUUACUGACACCGCAGGGUGUGUGGGAGUCCUCAGGACGGGCCUGCUGCCACCGUCCCACUGUCAGCAUGGUCCCCGCCACCGUGAUCACCCCCAGCAUUGUCAUCAUCCCCACCAUGACCUCUACCACCAUGAUCAUCACCACCACAACCACCACCACCACCACCACCACCACCACCACCACCACCACCUCCACCGUCACCACUGUCACCACCACCACCACCGUCACCACCACCACCACCACCAUCACCACCACCACCACCGUCACCACCAUCACCACCACCACCACCACCACCUCCACCAUCGUCACCACCACCACCACCACCACCACCGUCACCACCACCACCAUCACCACCAUCACCACCACCACCACCACCACCACUGUCACCACCAUCACCACCACCACCACCACCAUCACCACUGUCACCAUCACCACCACCAUCACCACCACCAUCAUCACCAUCAUCACCAUCAUCACCAUCAUCACCAUCAUCAUCACCACCACCACCACCACCACCAUCACCCCCACCACCAUCACCACCACCACCAUCACCACCACCACCACCACCACCACCACCACCACCAGCACCACCACCACCACCACCACCACCACCGUCACCACCGUCACCAUCACCACCGUCACCACCGUCACCACCACCACCACCACCACCACCACCACCGUCACCACCAUCACCACCACCACCACCACCACCACCACCGUCACCACCACCACCGUCACCACCAUCACCACCGUCACCACCACCGUCACCACCACCACCACCACCACCGUCACCACCGUCACCACCACCACCACCUCCACCACCAUCACCACCACCACCACCACCACCGUCACCACCAUCACCACCACCACCACCACCACCACCACCGUCACCACCACCACCGUCACCACCGUCACCACCACCACCACCUCCACCACCAUCACCACCACCACCACCACCACCGUCACCACCAUCACCACCACCACCGUCACCACCACCACCAUCACCACCACCACCGUCACCACCAUCACCACCACCACCACCACCGUCACCACCACCACCAUCACCACCAUCACCAUCACCACCACCACCACCACCACCGUCACCACCACCACCAUCACCACCAUCACCACCACCACCACCACCACCGUCACCACCAUCACCACCACCACCACCUCCACCACCAUCACCACCACCACCACCACCACCGUCACCACCAUCACCACCACCACCACCACCGUCACCACCAUUACCACCACCACCGUCACCACCACCACCGUCACCACCACCACCGUCACCACCAUCACCACCACCACCACCGUCACCAUCACCACCAUCACCACCACCACCACCACCGUCACCACCAUCACCACCACCACCACCUCCACCACCAUCACCACCACCACCACCACCGUCACCACCAUCACCACCACCACCACCGUCACCACCAUCACCACCACCACCACCACCGUCACCACCAUCACCACCACCACCGUCACCAUCACCACCACCACCGUCACCACCACCACCGUCACCACCACCACCAUCACCACCAUCACCACCACCACCACCACCGUCACCACCAUCACCACCACCACCACCACCACCACCACCGUCACCACCACCACCACCUCCACCACCAUCACCACCAUCACCACCACCACCACCGUCACCACCGUCACCACCACCACCACCACCACCGUCACCACCAUCACCACCAUCACCACCACCGUCACCACCACCACCACCACCACCGUCAUCACCAUCACCACCACCACCACCACCUCCACCACCAUCACCACCAUCACCACCUCCGGAUACUUCUGGGACCUGGACAGCGCCGAGGUCAGGAAUUCGUUGGAACGCAGUGAUCCAUUCGUGAAGGGAGAAUGAAAAGACGUUCUUUCAACUCAGCUUUUGGACUCAUGUCACUCCUGCACACCUGUCCCAGCACACCUGCCAUGUGUUUCCAGGGGAGACCUGCAGUAGGUAUAGAUGGGGGCCCCCCACGUGGAUCGCCCCAAAGCCUAAACAGCAAAGCACACGUUAAACAGUUUCCACAUUUUUUUCUGUUUUUUCCUUUUCAGCAGAAGAGCCUUGGUUUUCCUGAACAAAGCCUCAGAUGGAAUCCAGAAGGCAAACCUGCAGCAGAGCCGCCCUGGGUGCCGGAGGCCCAGAGGCUCCUGCGCAGCCCGCCCUCCUGCGCCCCAGAGCUCCUCGGUCCUUGCCCAUCAGGGGACAAGCC